This 1059-nucleotide long non-coding RNA is filed under the name Sus scrofa (pig). RNAcentral's name for it is "lncRNA (ENSSSCG00015036501.1)". The record is from RNAcentral. Lineage: Eukaryota; Metazoa; Chordata; Mammalia; Artiodactyla; Suidae.
ACCUGGAGAGUGUGUUAACAUGCAGAUUCUGGGUGGGCUGAGAUUCUGCUUUUCUAAUAAGCAACCAGGUAAUGCUGAUGCUUCUGGUAUGUGGAGCACACUUUGAGCAGAAGGACAGUGGAGAUAAGAAGGAAAACCUGGAGGAAGCCCUGCCCUUAAAGAACUCCCUGCCAGGUAAGGAAAUAAAACCAGAGGGUCAGAGAACUUUGUAGAGCUUCAGGGGUUAACAGAGGCCUGUAGCAUGGCUGGUGUCUGAUGUUGUUGAAUGAACAAAUGAUAAUAAGAAAGGCAUACGCAGCUGUGAUUCAGUGAGGGUGCACUGGACAGAGCUAAGUCCAAGGAGCUCAGAAAUGAUUACCGACUAGCAUCCUCUGAAGCGCUAAGUGAAGGGGAACUCACAAGUAAGUCUUUUAACCUGCCAUCUAGGGCAGUGACUUUCAAACUCUUUUUUUUGACCUGGGCCCACAGUAACAUAACAAGGAAUGAAUGUUACAUUGUGAUCUGUACACUCUGUGUGUGUCUGUGUGUGUGUGUGUGUGUGUGUGUUUAGAGGUAGGUAUAUAUACAUGUAUAUACAUAUCUACUGCUGAAGCAAAAUGUUCUGGAAAUAAUAUUUAAAUUGUAUUAAAACGUAAUUUUUUUUAACAUCCCCUAGACAGAAAUACAUAAGGAAGCAUACUGAUGUCCAGUAAGCUCUGGGGCGUGGCAGGGGUCACAUGACCUGGCUGCAGAUGUGGAAGGAUGCAAAGCCACUGCCCUCCAGGAUUUCUUGCUGGUGCUCCCCUCUGGCCAAUCACAAGCCGGGGCAAGGGAGCCGCAGUGAUAGAGCACAUAAAGGAUGAUAGCUCCGGUCCCUUGCAGGAUGAUGCAGCUGCUUGUGAAUGUCCUCCAGGGAGCCCAGCCCCACCUCUGCUCAGUGAAAAUCAUGGGCUACUACAGGCUAAUGGGAGGGGGACUGCAGAGGGCAGCCACCCUGGAGAGCAGAGCCCUCAGAUGGAGACAGCUGGCUUCCGUCUCUGAGCAGGUGAGGGAGUUGCUCCUGCAGCGUUGGUGAGAUGG